Molecule: long non-coding RNA, 518 nt
Filed under: Parus major (Great Tit)
Lineage: Eukaryota; Metazoa; Chordata; Aves; Passeriformes; Paridae
Description: lncRNA (ENSPMJG00000006318.1)
Source: RNAcentral
CUUUAAUCCAUUAGCACAUGUUUUAGAUGGGAAAGAAAAAAACAUUAGGAAGAAAAACAUUGUAAAUCUAAUUCUUCUGGGAACCGUUAGUGGCUAGUUCUGGUGAGAAUUGCUGAGGCCAUGAGCAAUCCAGAUGUUUAUUGUUUGGCUAAGGCUGAUUUUUCCUUCUUCCUGCAGUUCAUUACCAAGGAGUGAGUUCGUUCCUGGGGUUGGAGAGGGAACAACUGGAUGGACAAACCUCUGAUGUGGUGUUUGCUACUCGAUGAAUCACUGGGCCAUGCUGUCACUGGUGGAAGUGCAGCAGAUGGAGGAGCAGGCACCAGUGAUCCCCCAGGAAGCUCCUCAGGGUGGGGAUGAGAACUGGGCUGGAACACAACUCCUGGAGAGGCUCUGCAGGACCCCUGGGCACAGAAUCUCUGCUGGCAGGGCUUUCUCCCAAGGCUGUGCUUCCAAACUGGGUAAGUCUGGCUGGAUUUAAACAUAAUAAAAACCAAGUGAAGAUUUAAGAGAAAAGAUUC